Molecule: non-coding RNA, 88 nt
Filed under: Pseudomonas baetica
Lineage: Bacteria; Pseudomonadati; Pseudomonadota; Gammaproteobacteria; Pseudomonadales; Pseudomonadaceae
Source: RNAcentral
GUGGGAGGGGGCUUGCUCCCGAAUGCGGUGUGUCAUUCGACGAUGAUUUCGAAUGACACACCGCAUUCGGGAGCAAGCCCCCUCCCAC